RNAcentral lists this non-coding RNA (21 nucleotides) under Xenopus tropicalis (tropical clawed frog). RNAcentral also lists the same sequence under 2 other names. Lineage: Eukaryota; Metazoa; Chordata; Amphibia; Anura; Pipidae. The record is from RNAcentral.
GCAGCCGCGGUAAUUCCAGCU